RNAcentral lists this ribosomal RNA (497 nucleotides) under uncultured bacterium. Its description in RNAcentral is "partial 16S ribosomal RNA". It matches the Rfam family "Bacterial small subunit ribosomal RNA", at positions 28 to 507 of the family's 1533-position model. The record is from RNAcentral.
GAUGAACGCUGGCGGCGUGCCUAAUACGUGCAAGUCGAGCGAACAGACGAGGAGCUUGCUCCUCUGACGUUAGCGGCGGACGGGUGAGUAACACGUGGAUAACCUACCUAUAAGACUGGGAUAACUUCGGGAAACCGGAGCUAAUACCGGAUAAUAUAUUGAACCGCAUGGUUCAAUAGUGAAAGACGGUUUUGCUGUCACUUAUAGAUGGAUCCGCGCCGCAUUAGCUAGUUGGUAAGGUAACGGCUUACCAAGGCGACGAUGCGUAGCCGACCUGAGAGGGUGAGCGGCCACACUGGAACUGAGGCACGGUCCAGACUCCUACGGGAGGCAGCAGUAGGGGAUCUUCCGCGAUGGGCGAAAGCCUGACGGAGCAACGCCGCGUGAGUGAUGAAGGUCUUCGGAUCGUAAAACUCUGGUAUUAGGGAAGAACAAAUGUGUAAGUAACUAUGCACGUCUUGACGGUACCUAAUCAGAAAGCCACGGCUAACUACGUG